This is a long non-coding RNA of Notolabrus celidotus (New Zealand spotty), 1369 nucleotides long. RefSeq lists it as uncharacterized. The record is from RefSeq and is a predicted model, not a curated record. Lineage: Eukaryota; Metazoa; Chordata; Actinopteri; Labriformes; Labridae. The transcript is spliced from 2 exons.
GAAACAAUGACUUAUUAUGAGAAGUAGUAACACAGGGGAGCGGAUUUAGCAAAACCAGACAGCUAGACAAGCUAGUUUGACAGCAAUUCGUGUAAAAACAGGACAAAAUUAUGAUUAGUACGCAUUAACAGAGCUUAAAGUCAUCUUAAUAAUACCCAGAGCCAUGUCUAUGAGGCUUGUCCUCGACGUUAAAGCAAUAUAAUCUUCCCUGACAUAUCAAAGCAGUAGCAUUUAGCCUCUGCUGAAGGCUUUGAGGCCUGGUGGUUCCUCUAUCGCCAUAACUCAGCCAGUCAAAGCGGCGUUACAGCCUGGGGUGAUUUAACUUGAACACUACUAUGGUAAAAACUAUACUCACAGUCCAAAUGUUUCUUUUUCGGGCCCAUGACUUCGUGUGUGGUGGCCUUGCAUACUGUUUUCGACACAGCGGAUCCCGUUACACUGUGCUGGGCUGCGGUGAUCCGGUCCGUAAUGCUCUGGCCCGACAUCUUCGCUCACUCUCUCUCAGUCAGUGUAGCUCACAAAAAGGGUGUUAAAAAUGUAGAGAUUAAAGUCUGUCCUCUGCUUUAAAAUAGUAAAAUAAAACCUCCACCUCCUCCGCAACCUCUACCGGCUGGACCCCCCUUGCUAUCCCCCGGCUUGGAGGAUGUAAAAUCAAAACCAGGGUAUGGCAGACCCGGACCAGGGGAGGGGGAAUAAAGAGAAGAAGCGGAAUCUGACAACAACAACAAUUUAAAAAAUGUUGGAUUGUUUCUCUCUCCGCUCCUGGGCUUCUGUACUCAGUAAUCAGGGAUUGCAGGGUCCGCUCGCUGACUCAUCCGACCCGGGUCUCUGCCUCGCUCUCAUCCCGAUGUGGCACCGGAUCCCUGCCUGCUUGCCUGCCUCCUCCGCCGCCGCUCGCCGCUCCUCCUCCUCCUCCUCUUCCUCCUCCUGCCGCCGCCGCCGCCGUUCGGCUUUAAAGCGCUAUGAAAGAAAAAGACCACUGAGUGAGGAGGGGAAAUGGCGGGCCUGCUCUACUCUGCUCAGUUUUAGUCCUUGCACACCGCCCAGCAGACCCUGAAUCAGAUCUUACAUCGCUCGGUACCCACAAGGCCCGCUAUGGCGCAGGUGUACACCCACUGACCGCAGUCCAGCUGAGGGGAGAAAACAAUGCACAAAUGCUCAGUCAGAGGGAGUCAGAGGCCUGGAUGACAGGAUGAAGCCUGCAUUGAUUGAGGAGUGGACACAGUGAAGUACCUGCCUCGGGACUACGGAUGAAAUUUAGCAUCUGCGCUAAGUACGGCGCAUUCACAUUGAUGCUCAAUGCAUUAAUGUUGAUGAAUGUGCAUUGUUCCAACUCAAUAAACAAAUAAAUUAAAAUGAAAAACGCUGA